UACGGAGGGUGCAAGCGUUAUCCGGAUUCACUGGGUUUAAAGGGUGCGUAGGCGGGCAGGUAAGUCCGUGGUGAAAUCUCUGAGCUUAACUCAGAAACUGCCAUGGAUACUAUUUGUCUUGAAUGUUGUGGAGGUGGGCGGAACGGGUCAUGUAGCGGUGAAAUGCAUAGAUAUGACCCGGAACACCGAUUGCGAAGGCAGCCCGCUACGCAACGAUUGACGCUGAGGCACGAAAGCGUGGGGAUCAAACAGG
RNAcentral lists this ribosomal RNA (253 nucleotides) under uncultured bacterium. RNAcentral's name for it is "partial 16S ribosomal RNA". It matches the Rfam family "Bacterial small subunit ribosomal RNA", at positions 524 to 776 of the family's 1533-position model. The record is from RNAcentral.